This 1278-nucleotide ribosomal RNA is filed under the name Bacillus pumilus. RNAcentral describes it as "bacterial SSU rRNA". It matches the Rfam family "Bacterial small subunit ribosomal RNA", at positions 42 to 1325 of the family's 1533-position model. Lineage: Bacteria; Bacillati; Bacillota; Bacilli; Caryophanales; Bacillaceae. The record is from RNAcentral.
GGGGGCUAAUACAUGCAGUCGAGCGGACAGAAGGGAGCUUGCUCCCUGAUGUUAGCGGCGGACGGGUGAGUAACACGUGGGUAACCUGCCUGUAAGACUGGGAUAACUCCGGGAAACCGGAGCUAAUACCGGAUAGUUCCUUGAACCGCAUGGUUCAAGGAUGAAAGACGGUUUCGGCUGUCACUUACAGAUGGACCCGCGGCGCAUUAGCUAGUUGGUGGGGUAAUGGCUCACCAAGGCGACGAUGCGUAGCCGACCUGAGAGGGUGAUCGGCCACACUGGGACUGAGACACGGCCCAGACUCCUACGGGAGGCAGCAGUAGGGAAUCUUCCGCAAUGGACGAAAGUCUGACGGAGCAACGCCGCGUGAGUGAUGAAGGUUUUCGGAUCGUAAAGCUCUGUUGUUAGGGAAGAACAAGUGCGAGAGUAACUGCUCGCACCUUGACGGUACCUAACCAGAAAGCCACGGCUAACUACGUGCCAGCAGCCGCGGUAAUACGUAGGUGGCAAGCGUUGUCCGGAAUUAUUGGGCGUAAAGGGCUCGCAGGCGGUUUCUUAAGUCUGAUGUGAAAGCCCCCGGCUCAACCGGGGAGGGUCAUUGGAAACUGGGAAACUUGAGUGCAGAAGAGGAGAGUGGAAUUCCACGUGUAGCGGUGAAAUGCGUAGAGAUGUGGAGGAACACCAGUGGCGAAGGCGACUCUCUGGUCUGUAACUGACGCUGAGGAGCGAAAGCGUGGGGAGCGAACAGGAUUAGAUACCCUGGUAGUCCACGCCGUAAACGAUGAGUGCUAAGUGUUAGGGGGUUUCCGCCCCUUAGUGCUGCAGCUAACGCAUUAAGCACUCCGCCUGGGGAGUACGGUCGCAAGACUGAAACUCAAAGGAAUUGACGGGGGCCCGCACAAGCGGUGGAGCAUGUGGUUUAAUUCGAAGCAACGCGAAGAACCUUACCAGGUCUUGACAUCCUCUGACAACCCUAGAGAUAGGGCUUUCCCUUCGGGGACAGAAUGACAGGUGGUGCAUGGUUGUCGUCAGCUCCUGGCCGGAAAUGUUGGGUUAAGUCCCGCAACGAACGCAACCCUUGAUCUUAGUUGCAGCAUUCAUUUGGGCAUCUAAGGUGACUGCCGGUGACAACCGGAAGAAGGGGGGAUAACCUCAAUCCUCCUGCCCCUUUAAACUGGGGUAACCCGGGCUAAAUGGAAAAAAAAAGGCUCCAAACCCCAGGGUUACCCAUCCCAAAAUCUGUUCCAAUUCGAACCACUUCCAACCCACCGGGGAAAG